This 469-nucleotide ribosomal RNA is filed under the name uncultured bacterium. RNAcentral's name for it is "partial 16S ribosomal RNA". It matches the Rfam family "Bacterial small subunit ribosomal RNA", at positions 28 to 507 of the family's 1533-position model. The record is from RNAcentral.
GACGAACGCUGGCGGCGUGCUUAACACAUGCAAGUCGAACGGAAAGGCCCUGCUUGCGGGGUGCUCGAGUGGCGAACGGGUGAGUAACACGUGGGUGAUCUGCCCCUUACUUUGGGAUAAGCCUGGGAAACUGGGUCUAAUACUGGAUAGGACCAUGCUGUAGGUGGUGUGGUGGAAAGAUUAGUUUCGGUAAGGGAUGAGCUCUCGGCCUAUCAGCUUGUUGGUGGGGUAAUGGCCUACCAAGGCGUCGACGGGUAGCCGGCCAGAGAGGGUGGACGGCACGGUUGGGACUGCGAUAGGGCGCAGACUCAUGCGGGAGGCAGCAGUGGGGAAUAGUGUAACAUGGGAGCAAGCCUGAUGCAGCGACGCCACGUGGGGGAUGAAGGCCUUCGGGUUGUAAAGUCCUUUCGGCCAUGAAGAAGCCCUUGUGGUGACGGUAGUGGGAGAAGAAGCAACGGCUAACUACGUG